CACACAUACAUCGCGAAGUCUUGAUUUGCCUUGGUGAUCAUUUCUGAGCGUUUUUCUGUGGACUGUUUAUUCCCUGCGACCCUUUGCUGCCUACCCUGAUCUUUGCCUGUUUCCUGGACUGUGAUUGUUUGCUGCCUGCCCUGAUCCUUGCCUGUACCCUGAUUCUGUUUGUCUGCCGCCUGCCUCGACCAUUGCCUGUUACUGUUUAUGCCUCUGCCUUUGCCCUGUCUACUCUAUCGUUGCUGGAGAUCGCACGUGCUGCUUCCUGUUCUCCUGUGUGUUCCUCAGUCUGAGUCGUCGUGUCGUGCUGUUCCGGUUCCGAUUCCUAUUCCUGUCUCGUUUGGAUUUCUCACCUGGUGUUCUCCUUUCACUCCGGGUACUCUACACACGGUCUUCACUCUUCUGUUCAGGAUUGCCCAUCGAAGUCCCUGUGUCACCACUCUCCUGCUGGCUGCAACGUGUUGGACUUUACUGUUUUCUCAAUAAAGAGAUUUUUACUUGCAACUUGCAUCCGCGUAUGACUCCCGUGACAUUAUCAACAAUCGUACAUGGGACUGCUGCAUGAUUUCGCCACAGAUCGAUGCAUAUGUCCUUAGUUUUCUAAGCAUUCAGAAGUAGACCAACCUCUCCACACAAAUUUGCAAAAUACUCGGCAAUAUGCCCAUGUUCCCUUUCCUCAGGUUUGAGUGAAGAGCUGUAACUAUAUAUAAUGAAGAGAAAGACUGUCAGAAACAGAAAAUGGCUGAUAAGUGUGAUCUGUGUCUGCUGGGACUGAUCGUUCUCUCUUCACUUCUCACAGGUACCUGUGGAGUGGAUGAUGGUCGUGUGUUCAACAGAUCUGGUGAAAAUGUCCGUCUGCCCUGUAAUAAUGCUCUUUCUGAAUGUACAACAACUACAUGGAACUAUAACAGAUUCAGACAUUCAGCAGCAGCUGAACUGAUUGGUUUAGGGAUAAAGAAGAAAGAGACAGAGAGACAUGAGAGACUGAGUCUGGGGUCUGACUGCUCUCUGAACAUCAAGAACGUCACAGAAGAAGAUUAUGGAUCUUACACCUGCCGACAAUUUGUGAAUGACAAACAACAAGGACCUGAUGCACGUGUUUUCCUGCAUGUUCUUCAUGUUUCAGUCUCUCCAUCAUCAUCAUCCUCACAGACUGAGAUCAGUCCAGGCCGCUCUGUGACUCUCUCCUGUCAGUUGUAUUCAGUCUCCUGUGAUUAUUUGGUUCGUUCUGAAGGAAUUGAUCUGUUGUGGGUGAAUCAGACUGGUGUUGAUCUGAAGACAGACUCCAGAUAUCAGAUAUUAUUCUCAUCAGAUCACUGUAACAUCAGUCUGACUACAACACUUCUGAAUGAAGAUGACAACAGAGAGUGGAGAUGUCAGCUUACUCUCAGAAAUCAACUCGAGACCUCAGACAGAUACACUGUCAAGUAUUCAGCUCAAAAUGAUUCAACGACAGCAGUGAUUCCAGUCCACAACACAAACUCUCAGGAUCUCUCAACAAUAAAAACACCAGAAACUAAAGAUCACAGAUACUGUUUUCUUCUCAUGAAUCAAUUUUGGAAGAGUCUCUAUUAGAGUUGCAUAACAAUACAGUUAUCUUGUGUGCGUACUAAUUAAAUAUGAUUGUCAUAUUCUACAGUAUGAUCCAUCUGAACUAAUAUUCACCCUUUACAGCUCAAGAUGAUUCAACGACAGCAGUGAUUCCAGUCCACAUCACGAACUCAACUAUAAACACACACAAGGCUUCUACACAAGUGAUUGUGAUUGCGAUUGUCGUCGCUUCAUUUGCUGUUCUCCUUCUUGCUCUUAUUCUCUGGAUGAUUCGUAAAAAAGGAGCAGAUAACAGAAGAGGGACUGAUGACUCUGUGAAGCAGACAGAUGAUCAUGUGACUUAUGCUGAGGUCACUGCGUACAGUAAAAACCAAGACAAAAAGAACAAGGUUCGCUGUGAUGAUAAAGUGACUUAUUCUUCCAUCAGAGGAGCAACAGCUGGAUCUCAGGAAAACUGCAGUGAACUUUAUGCCUCUGUGAACAAGAUCCGUCACAAACCAGUCAAAUAAUUAUACGAAAACCACAUGAGCAGAAGAAUAUAAACUAAUAUAUUCAACUUCUAAUGGCUUCAUUCAGCGCCAUUACAAAUACGUUUAUGUUCACAAACAAGCUCUGAUUUCUUUGCAGUCAUUGGUUAUUUUGGUCAGUUUGACGUUUUUUUGUUUCUGUCUGCUUGUUGAUCAGUUAAUGCUAGUGUCUUUAUUAUUAAUUCAGAGCUGCAGGUUUGUACAAAGUCUAGAAAAUGAGGACAGUUUUACUCUCUUACAUCAUUCUCAUUAAAUCAUGUAUUUUCUCGAGCAGCUAAUUAACUGUCAGCUUGCAUUAAUUAUGAGAACAGGCAAAGCUUGAUGAUGUAAGCAUUAUGGAAGUAUGACAGGAAUGAUAAUUUGGCGUUUGAACCGUUUGAGCAGCUGCUUUCAGCAAUGCUUAGAUUUUAUUUGUCAAUAAAAAAAUAGCCCAUGUCAAAUGUGUAUUUGGUGAAAUAGAUUUUGCAUCAUUACACAUAUUUUCUUGUGCAGACUCAGUAGACGUGACAACCUCCUGAGGAACCUCUAAUUUUAUGUGCUCAAAGCUUUACAGACACAGAUGCAAUGGAUUCUGACAGUUUCUAGAUGUGAGUUUGUGUAAAUCUCUGUCAGUGAGCAGAAUGAUCCCGUGAAUGAUCUCAA
Ctenopharyngodon idella (grass carp) is the source of this 2720-nucleotide RNA transcript. RefSeq lists it as uncharacterized. The record is from RefSeq and is a predicted model, not a curated record. The transcript has 9 exons. Lineage: Eukaryota; Metazoa; Chordata; Actinopteri; Cypriniformes; Xenocyprididae.